RNAcentral lists this ribosomal RNA (197 nucleotides) under uncultured bacterium. Its description in RNAcentral is "partial 16S ribosomal RNA". It matches the Rfam family "Bacterial small subunit ribosomal RNA", at positions 328 to 539 of the family's 1533-position model. The record is from RNAcentral.
ACGCUCGACACCUACGGGAGGAAGCAGUGGGGGAUAUUGCACAAUGGGGGAAACCCUGAUGCAGCGACGCCGCGUGAAGGAAGAAGGCCUUGGUUGUAAACUUCUGUCGUACGGGACGAUAAUGACGGUACCGUACAAGAAAGCCACGGCUAACUACGUGCCAGCACGCCGCGGUAAUCUGAGCGGGCUGGCAAGGC